This 383-nucleotide long non-coding RNA is filed under the name Ananas comosus (pineapple). Its description in RNAcentral is "long non-coding RNA (ACOM_LNC039607)". The record is from RNAcentral. Lineage: Eukaryota; Viridiplantae; Streptophyta; Magnoliopsida; Poales; Bromeliaceae.
UCUCUUCCUUUAAACUCCAGAUUUUCAUAUUAGUCCUAAUUAAGCUGUUGUUAUGUAUAUUAAUUUGUUUGUUGUUAUCUGAAGAUUCAGAACCAAUGGAUUGAGGUUAAUUACUUAAUAGUAUAUAUCGUUUAGUUCAGGAAUAAACAAAAAGUGCUAUUCUAGAAAUAGAUAUAAAUUAAUAUAUAAGCGGGGAUUAGAUCAAUUUUGCGUUUGGAUAAAAAUUGGAUUAUUAAAAAACAUAGCGUUUGGUUAAGUAAGAUGGAUGAAAAUUGGAUUAUUAAAAAACGUAGCGUUUGAUUAGGUAAGAUGGAAUAAGAAAAAUAGUGAAUUUUUAUAAAUAAAAAGUAAUCAUAUUAUUCUCUUAUUAUAUUUGAAUUUAA